Molecule: ribosomal RNA, 253 nt
Filed under: uncultured bacterium
Lineage: Bacteria
Description: partial 16S ribosomal RNA
Rfam family: Bacterial small subunit ribosomal RNA
Source: RNAcentral
CACGGGGGGAGCAAGCGUUGUUCGGAAUUACUGGGCGUAAAGGGCGCGUAGGCGGUUCGAUAAGUCAGCUGUGAAAACCAUGGGCUUAACUCAUGGCCUGCAGUUGAGACUGUCGGGCUGGAGUGUGGGAGAGGAGAGUGGAAUUCCUGGUGUAGCGGUGAAAUGCGUAGAUAUCAGGAGGAACACCGGUGGCGAAGGCGGCUCUCUGGACCACAACUGACGCUGAGGCGCGAAAGCUAGGGGAGCAAACAGG